GUUUAUAAAGUUUAUAAAACAUUUCGAUUUCAAUGAAAAAAUGGGCUGUGUGCCCUAUAAAUA
RNAcentral lists this transfer RNA (63 nucleotides) under Platypedia putnami. Its description in RNAcentral is "tRNA-Glu". The record is from RNAcentral. Lineage: Eukaryota; Metazoa; Arthropoda; Insecta; Hemiptera; Cicadidae.